UACGUAGGGUGCGAGCGUUAAUCGGAAUUACUGGGCGUAAAGCGUGCGCAGGCGGUUUUUUAAGACAGGCGUGAAAUCCCCGGGCUUAACCUGGGAACUGCGUUUGUGACUGGAAGGCUAGAGUAUGGCAGAGGGGGGUGGAAUUCCACGUGUAGCAGUGAAAUGCGUAGAGAUGUGGAGGAACACCGAUGGCGAAGGCAGCCCCCUGGGCUAACACUGACGCUCAUGCACGAAAGCGUGGGGAGCAAACAGG
RNAcentral lists this ribosomal RNA (253 nucleotides) under uncultured bacterium. RNAcentral's name for it is "partial 16S ribosomal RNA". It matches the Rfam family "Bacterial small subunit ribosomal RNA", at positions 524 to 776 of the family's 1533-position model. The record is from RNAcentral.